RNAcentral lists this ribosomal RNA (783 nucleotides) under Triticum aestivum (bread wheat). RNAcentral's name for it is "partial small subunit ribosomal RNA". The record is from RNAcentral. Lineage: Eukaryota; Viridiplantae; Streptophyta; Magnoliopsida; Poales; Poaceae.
AUAGCGGUACCUAAAUGUGUUGGUGGAAUGGGUUUUAGGGACCUCCAGUUAUUUAAUAAAGCCAUGUUAGCUAAACAAGGAUGGAGGCUAUUGACUAAUCCCGAAUCGCUAUGUGCAAGACUUCUGAAAGGGAAGUAUUAUAACGGCAAAGACUUCAUGACCGCUACAAGAAGAAGGGGAUCCUCACACACAUGGCGCGCCAUAUUGUUUGGUAGAGAAGCUCUUGAGCUGGGCCUAAUCAAGAGGGUCGGUGAUGGCGAAUCAAUUAAAAUAUGGGAUGAUCCGUGGAUCCCAGCCAACUAUAAUUACAAGACCUUAGUAAAGCUUCGUCUUGCUGCAGUUAAUAGAGUUAAUGAGCUACUGGAUGUAGAUAGCAGAACAUGGGACGAGGAAUGUGUGAGAACUAAUUUUACUGUGAUUGAUGCUGAAGCUAUCCUGCGAAUUCCAGUCAAUGCGGGAGAGGAUUUCUGGGCAUGGCAACCUGAUAAGAUGGGCAUUUUCUCUGUGAGGUCGGCUUAUAAGUUGUUGACUGAGGAACAGGGUAGGAUGACCCAGGCGUCAGGCUCGGACAAUGGGUACUAUAAGGCGUUUAAAAUACUUUGGCGAAUGGAGGUUCCUCCCAAAGUAAGAUGUUUCUGGUGGAGAGUUAUUCACAACUUUAUUCCGUGUCGGGUUGUGCUGCAACAUCGUCAUAUCGAGAAAAUACCUUACUGUGAGGACUGUGGUGUUGAAGAAACUACAUACCAUGCUCUAUUCACUUGCAAUUGGGCUCGCAGGUUCUGA